AAGAAUUUAAGUUAAAAAAACUAAUAGCCUUCAAAGCUUUAAAUGGUCUAAACCAAUUCUUA
RNAcentral lists this transfer RNA (62 nucleotides) under Pseudocuneopsis capitata. Its description in RNAcentral is "Cuneopsis capitatus tRNA-Trp". The record is from RNAcentral. Lineage: Eukaryota; Metazoa; Mollusca; Bivalvia; Unionida; Unionidae.